Molecule: long non-coding RNA, 2706 nt
Organism: Amblyraja radiata (thorny skate)
Lineage: Eukaryota; Metazoa; Chordata; Chondrichthyes; Rajiformes; Rajidae
Exons: 2
Source: RefSeq, a predicted model, not a curated record
UCUUUGCAGUUCACACUGUCACCCAGCAUUGUGUCAUCUGCAAAUUUCCUAGUGUUACUUUUAAUUCCAUCAUCUAAAUUAUUAAUAUAUAUUGUAAAUAGUUGCGGCCCCAGCACCGAAUCUUGCGGCACCCCGUUAAUGGGGAAUUGUGUGGCAAAUGUAGUUUCGUGUAUUUAUAUUUACAGCAACACUUUUGAUUGGUAAAUCUUUCUGCUUUCGAAGACAUUAGUUAAAUUAACUUUCAAAAGAUGUAUUAUACAGGUGGGGAAGAGUAAAUUGACAUGAAAUUCUGGGUUGUAAAUUUGGAAAUUGGAUAUAGAAACAAGUGAAUUUAAGCAAAUGUUGCUGAGGUGAAAGUACUGUAAAAUUGUUGGAUACUGAUUUUAAACUUCAUGGGAAUGAUAGGGGUGAAGCUUUAAGAAAAGCAUUUAAAAAAAAAAUCUUUAUUCACUUAAGAAGAACUUGAUUGAGUAAUCUAUUCUGUGUUAAAUCAUGGAAAGUAGGUUGAGUGGUCUCCAUGGAUUUUCAGGAUUUUCUGACAGGAAAUUCAGCUGCUCAUUCCUGCUCUGCGAUUCAAAAAUGGCACAGCUUCAUUUCCUACAUCGUGAAGAAAUUUCCUUCUCAUCUUUAUCUUGUCCCAAAUGGCUGACAGCUGCUUUUCAAACUGUGAUUCCAGUAAAAGUUCAACUACCAAAUGAUGUCGGCAAUAUUCCAGUUUUCCAGUUUGAUUGUGGAGUUUGAGACUUUUUUAUUGAUCUCUGCACUCUACCAGAUUAUCAGCUUUUAUCAAAAUAGCUCAGGUAAAACUUACAUUCAUAUAGUGCCUUUAAUUAAAAAGAUAUCCUGGGACAUUUCUCCAGUACACCCCCAAACCCAUUAGACUCCAAAAUCAUGCAAGAUUUGGGGACUCCCAACCAAACAGAUCAAUCAAAGAAGAUGAUUUUAAAAAGGUUGAAUUAAUUGUUUAGAAUUCAUCUUCAUCUGGGGUGUUAAAUUAACCAUGAAUGGAAAUUAAAUGUUAUUUGUUCUUUUUGUUUUGAUUUUGAACAAAGCAAUAACAUUUUAGUAAAUUAUGUUCAAUUGGAAUUAAUACAGUUAAAUAUUGGGAAUAGGAUUUUAUGUUACACAUGAAAGGUAUCAUUAAUGUUUUGACCCCUGUCAACUCUGGAGUCAACCUGAGGAAUAAUCCUGUUACAUAAUCUUAUACCUAAAUUUCAAGCAGUUAAGUUGUCAAAAUCUGUGUGAAACCCAGUGUUACUGUAAACAAUAGAUCAGUUUGUACAUGUAUAAAAUUCUUGUAUGAUACUUUUUUAGAAAAAUACAGAAACUAUUAUGAAAUUAAUUAUGGGAUUGUUCUAGUGUUUUCCUAACUAUUACACACAUUAUGAAAGUUGUGGGGUCAAAUUGCAGUAUGUUGUUAAUAAUUAUCCCAUGACACUUUGUUAGAGUUCCAGUACAUUUUAUUCUUGCAUAUUUGAUCAAGAUUUUGAAAUUCUGUUAUAGGGGUAGUAUUUGAUUCCAAAGGUUUGUCUUUUGAGAUGUGUAAAUAUUUUGGUUUUGUUUAUUGGGCGGCAUGAUGGCGUAGCGGUAAAUCUACUGCCUUACAGCGCCAGAGUCCCGGGUUCGAUCCUGACUACGGGUGCUUGUCUGUACAGAUUUGGUACUUUCUCCCCGUGACCUGCGUGGGUUUUCUCUAAGAUCUUCAGUUUCCUCCCACUUUCCAAAGACGUACAGGUUUGUAGGUUAAUUGGCUUGGUGUAUUGUAAAAUUGUCGUAAGUGUGUGUAUGGUAGUGUUAAUGUGCGUUGGUCGGUGCGGAUGCAGGCUGAAGGGCUGGUUUCCGCAAUAUAUCUCUUAUAUUUUAAACAAAAACUCCUUAGUCGCUGCCUCUGUAUGUGUUUCCCAUGUUGGGUCUUCUCCAAGUUCGCGAUGGAUGACCAAUUUUUUAUCUGAUGACUGAAGAAGGUUCUCGACCCGAAACAUCAACUAUUCCUUUUCUGCAGAUAUGCUGUCUGUCCUGCUGAGUUACUGCAGCUUUUUGUGUCUCUUUGGUUUAGACCAGCAUCUGUCAGCACUUGUCAGCAUGUAGUCACUUAUGGAAUCCUAGACCAUCAUCGCUGAAAACAUCAACAGGCUCGGUGCCUCACAAUGCUAUGUACGACAGUGAUCGCAACUUGUAGCUGAAUCCUAAAACUCCUCAGUUUCGCCAACUCCUUGCAGGUUCCUCAGGAUUACAGCAUUGUCGCUGUUGUUAGUUCCAUUGAUCAGAGCACUGAUAUCCUUGGUAUGGCCAUGUGGAAGUACAUCCAGGGUUGAUCUAGUACUUGAUUUUUUUUGUGUGUGUCGGGGUUUCAGUUUGGUUGCUUUGAAACUGGUAAAACAUUUAUUAACCUUUCCUAACCAUUUGCACAUAGUAAUUAUGGCCUAGGUUUCAUGCAUGCUACUACGUGCUUUCCCAUAUCCUGUGGGGAAAUAUGGUUGGAUAGGACUUUGCUUAAUUGACUAUUUGGUAAUCUGAUAUUUGAUGAUCUUUGGGAUCUGGUUUUACUUGUCUCAACUAAAAUCCAGUAAAGACAAGUGCAGAACAGAUCAUGUUAAAUGUACCCCAUUUGAAGUUGCACAUCCAUGCCUAAUAAUGUUGACCAGUGUUGGGGAGAGUGCGUCAUCUACCUUGAUCAUCUUGAUUCACCUUGAUUCUAUCACAAUU